This 291-nucleotide ribosomal RNA is filed under the name uncultured bacterium. RNAcentral's name for it is "partial 16S ribosomal RNA". It matches the Rfam family "Bacterial small subunit ribosomal RNA", at positions 30 to 320 of the family's 1533-position model. The record is from RNAcentral.
AUUGAACGCUGGCGGCGUGCUUAACACAUGCAAGUCGAGCGGUAACAGGCGUAGCAAUACGUGCUGACGAGCGGCGAACGGGUGCGUAAUACAUCGGAAUCUGCCUCGUAGUGGGGAAUAACCCGGCGAAAGCCGGGCUAAUGCCGCAUACGAUCCACGGAUGAAAGCGGGGGACUUUCGGCCGUCGCGCUAUGAGAUGAGCCGAUGUCGGAUUAGCUAGUGGUGAGGUAACGGCUCACCAAGGCGACGAUCCGUAGCUGGUCUGAGAGGACGGCCAGCCACACUGGGACU